AAGCCAUGCGAGUCAUAUGUAGCAAUACAUGGCGUACUGCUCAGUAACACGUGGAUAACCUGCCCUUGGGACCGGCAUAACCCCGGGAAACUGGGGAUAAUUCCGGAUAACGCAUAUUUGCUGGAAUGCUUUAUGCGUCAAAAGGAUUCGUCUGCCCAAGGAUGGGUCUGCGGCCUAUCAGGUAGUAGUGGGUGUAAUGUACCUACUAGCCAGCGACGGGUACGGGUUGUGAGAGCAAGAGCCCGGAGAUGGAUUCUGAGACAUGAAUCCAGGCCCUACGGGGCGCAGCAGGCGCGAAAACUUUACAAUGCGGGAAACCGUGAUAAGGGGACACCGAGUGCCAGCAUCAUAUGCUGGCUGUCCGGAUGUGUAAAAUACAUCCGUUAGCAAGGGCCGGGCAAGACCGGUGCCAGCCGCCGCGGUAACACCGGCGGCCCGAGUGGUGAUCGUGAUUAUUGGGUCUAAAGGGUCCGUAGCCGGUUUGGUCAGUCCUCCGGGAAAUCUGAUAGCUCAACUAUUAGGCUUUCGGGGGAUACUGCCAGACUUGGAACCGGGAGAGGUAAGAGGUACUACAGGGGUAGGAGUGAAAUCUUGUAAUCCCUGUGGGACCACCUGUGGCGAAGGCGUCUUACCAGAACGGGUUCGACGGUGAGGGACGAAAGCUGGGGGCACGAACCGGAUUAGAUACCCGGGUAGUCCCAGCCGUAAACGAUGCUCGCUAGGUGUCAGGCAUGGCGCGACCGUGUCUGGUGCCGCAGGGAAGCCGUGAAGCGAGCCACCUGGGAAGUACGGCCGCAAGGCUGAAACUUAAAGGAAUUGGCGGGAA
Molecule: ribosomal RNA, 826 nt
Filed under: uncultured archaeon
Lineage: Archaea
Description: bacterial SSU rRNA
Rfam family: Archaeal small subunit ribosomal RNA
Source: RNAcentral